GUACUUGUUUUGUCAGUACAUAUUGGAACAACACAGAAAAGAUUGGCAUGGCCCCUGCACAAAGAUGAUGUGGAACUUUGUGAAGCAUUCCAUACUUUU
RNAcentral lists this small nuclear RNA (99 nucleotides) under Jaculus jaculus (lesser Egyptian jerboa). Lineage: Eukaryota; Metazoa; Chordata; Mammalia; Rodentia; Dipodidae. The record is from RNAcentral.